This 494-nucleotide ribosomal RNA is filed under the name uncultured bacterium. Its description in RNAcentral is "partial 16S ribosomal RNA". It matches the Rfam family "Bacterial small subunit ribosomal RNA", at positions 28 to 507 of the family's 1533-position model. The record is from RNAcentral.
GACGAACGCUGGCGGCGUGCUUAACACAUGCAAGUCGAACGGAAAGGCCUGCUUUCCCUUGUGGAUUGCGGGUACUCGAGUGGCGAACGGGUGAGUAACACGUGAGUGAUCUGCCCCCAACUUGGGUAUAAGCCUGGGAAACUGGGUCUAAUUCCCGAUAGGACUGCAGGGUGGUGCCUGUGGUGGAAAACGAUUUUCUAGUGGUUGGGGAUGAGCUCGCGGCCUAUCAGCUUGUUGGUGGGGUAAUGGCCUACCAAGGCGGCGACGGGUAGCCGGCCUGAGAGGGUGGACGGCCACAUUGGGACUGAGAUACGGCCCAGACUCCUACGGGAGGCAGCAGUGGGGAAUAUUGCACAAUGGGCGGAAGCCUGAUGCAGCGACGCCGCGUGGGGGAUGACGGCCUUCGGGUUGUAAACUCCUUUCGACCGCGAGGAAGCCACCUGGUUGGAAGGGUGGUGACGGUAGUGGUAGAAGAGGCACCGGCUAACUACGUG